This 303-nucleotide ribosomal RNA is filed under the name uncultured bacterium. RNAcentral describes it as "partial 16S ribosomal RNA". It matches the Rfam family "Bacterial small subunit ribosomal RNA", at positions 507 to 807 of the family's 1533-position model. The record is from RNAcentral.
AGCAGUCGCCGCGGGAAUACGAAGGGUGCAAGCGUUAAUCGGAAUUACUGGGCGUAAAGCGUGCGUAGGUGGUGGUUUAAGUCCGUUGUGAAAGCCCUGGGCUCAACCUGGGAAUUGCAGUGGAUACUGGGUCACUAGAGUGUGGUGGAGGAUAGUGGAAUUUCCGGUGUAGCAGUGAAAUGCGUAGAGAUCGGAAGGAACAUCUGUGGCGAAGGCGGCCAUCUGGGACAACACUGACGCUGAGGCACGAAAGCGUGGGGAGCAAACAGGAUUAGAGACCCCGGUAGUCCCUGUCUCUUAUAC